This 1534-nucleotide ribosomal RNA is filed under the name Klebsiella pneumoniae. Its description in RNAcentral is "bacterial SSU rRNA". It matches the Rfam family "Bacterial small subunit ribosomal RNA". The record is from RNAcentral. Lineage: Bacteria; Pseudomonadati; Pseudomonadota; Gammaproteobacteria; Enterobacterales; Enterobacteriaceae.
AAAUUGAAGAGUUUGAUCAUGGCUCAGAUUGAACGCUGGCGGCAGGCCUAACACAUGCAAGUCGAGCGGUAGCACAGAGAGCUUGCUCUCGGGUGACGAGCGGCGGACGGGUGAGUAAUGUCUGGGAAACUGCCUGAUGGAGGGGAUAACUACUGGAAACGGUAGCUAAUACCGCAUAACGUCGCAAGACCAAAGUGGGGACCUUCGGGCCUCAUGCCAUCAGAUGUGCCCAGAUGGGAUUAGCUAGUAGGUGGGGUAACGGCUCACCUAGGCGACGAUCCCUAGCUGGUCUGAGAGGAUGACCAGCCACACUGGAACUGAGACACGGUCCAGACUCCUACGGGAGGCAGCAGUGGGGAAUAUUGCACAAUGGGCGCAAGCCUGAUGCAGCCAUGCCGCGUGUGUGAAGAAGGCCUUCGGGUUGUAAAGCACUUUCAGCGGGGAGGAAGGCGAUAAGGUUAAUAACCUUGUCGAUUGACGUUACCCGCAGAAGAAGCACCGGCUAACUCCGUGCCAGCAGCCGCGGUAAUACGGAGGGUGCAAGCGUUAAUCGGAAUUACUGGGCGUAAAGCGCACGCAGGCGGUCUGUCAAGUCGGAUGUGAAAUCCCCGGGCUCAACCUGGGAACUGCAUUCGAAACUGGCAGGCUAGAGUCUUGUAGAGGGGGUAGAAUUCCAGGUGUAGCGGUGAAAUGCGUAGAGAUCUGGAGGAAUACCGGUGGCGAAGGCGGCCCCUGGACAAAGACUGACGCUCAGGUGCGAAAGCGUGGGGAGCAAACAGGAUUAGAUACCCUGGUAGUCCACGCCGUAAACGAUGUCGAUUUGGAGGUUGUGCCCUUGAGGCGUGGCUUCCGGAGCUAACGCGUUAAAUCGACCGCCUGGGGAGUACGGCCGCAAGGUUAAAACUCAAAUGAAUUGACGGGGCCCGCACAAGCGGUGGAGCAUGUGGUUUAAUUCGAUGCAACGCGAAGAACCUUACCUGGUCUUGACAUCCACAGAACUUUCCAGAGAUGGAUUGGUGCCUUCGGGAACUGUGAGACAGGUGCUGCAUGGCUGUCGUCAGCUCGUGUUGUGAAAUGUUGGGUUAAGUCCCGCAACGAGCGCAACCCUUAUCCUUUGUUGCCAGCGGUCCGGCCGGGAACUCAAAGGAGACUGCCAGUGAUAAACUGGAGGAAGGUGGGGAUGACGUCAAGUCAUCAUGGCCCUUACGACCAGGGCUACACACGUGCUACAAUGGCAUAUACAAAGAGAAGCGACCUCGCGAGAGCAAGCGGACCUCAUAAAGUAUGUCGUAGUCCGGAUUGAGUCUGCAACUCGACUCCAUGAAGUCGGAAUCGCUAGUAAUCGUAGAUCAGAAUGCUACGGUGAAUACGUUCCCGGGCCUUGUACACACCGCCCGUCACACCAUGGGAGUGGGUUGCAAAAGAAGUAGGUAGCUUAACCUUCGGGAGGGCGCUUACCACUUUGUGAUUCAUGACUGGGGUGAAGUCGUAACAAGGUAACCGUAGGGGAACCUGCGGUUGGAUCACCUCCUUA